This 527-nucleotide long non-coding RNA is filed under the name Homo sapiens (human). Its description in RNAcentral is "non-protein coding lnc-ACYP1-3:1". Lineage: Eukaryota; Metazoa; Chordata; Mammalia; Primates; Hominidae. The record is from RNAcentral.
GUACUUGAGAAUGGGUCUCAGUACAGGUGUCAACCUUUUAGAAGCGACCUUGUUCUUCCUUUCCUUCCGAGAGCUCGAGCAGAGAGGACUGUGAUGAGACAGGAUAACAGAGAUACUGUGGAUGAUACUGUUAGUAGCGAAUCGCUUCAGUCUUUGUUCUCAGAAUGGGACAAUCCAGUAUUUGCCCGUUAUCCAGAGGUGGGAACCUGCUCGUGCUGGUGGAUCAGCACGCUGCCCAUGAGCGUAUACGUCUGGAGCAGCUUAUCAUUGAUUCCUACGAGAAGCAACAGGCACAAGGCUCUGGUCGGAAAAAAUUACUGUCUUCUACUCUAAUUCCUCCGCUAGAGAUAACAGUGACAGAGGAACAAAGGAGACUCUUAUGGUGUUACCACAAAAAUCUGGAAGAUCUGGGCCUUGAAUUUGUAUUUCCAGACACUAGUGAUUCUCUGGUCCUUGUGGGAAAAGUACCACUAUGUUUUGUGGAAAGAGAAGCCAAUGAACUUCGGAGAGGAAGAUCUACUGUGACC